Molecule: ribosomal RNA, 425 nt
Filed under: uncultured eukaryote
Lineage: Eukaryota
Description: SSU rRNA
Rfam family: Eukaryotic small subunit ribosomal RNA
Source: RNAcentral
CAAUAGCGUAUAUUAAAGUUGUUGCAGUUAAAAAGCUCGUAGUUGUAUUUGUGGCGUGCGUUGGGCUCCCUUUCCCUAUCGGGAUAUGGUGUUGCCUGGCGUUGCCAUCCUUGGGUGGAAUCUGUGUGGCAUUAGGUUGUCGUGCAGGGGAUGCCCAUCGUUUACUGUGAAAAAUUAGAGUGUUCAAAGCAGGCUUACGCCGUUGAAUAUAUUAGCAUGGAAUAAUAAGAUAGGACCUUGGUACUAUUUUGUUGGUUUGCGCACCGAGGUAAUGAUUAAUAGGGACAGUUGGGGGUAUUCGUAUUCCAUUGUCAGAGGUGAAAUUCUUGGAUUUUUGGAAGACGAACUACUGCGAAAGCAUUUACCAAGGAUGUUUUCAUUAAUCAAGAACGAAAGUUAGGGGAUCGAAGAUGAUUAGAUACCGU